RNAcentral lists this ribosomal RNA (252 nucleotides) under uncultured prokaryote. Its description in RNAcentral is "partial 16S rRNA". It matches the Rfam family "Archaeal small subunit ribosomal RNA", at positions 499 to 726 of the family's 1478-position model. The record is from RNAcentral.
AAGGGGAGAGAAAGAGGUGGAAAGUUUUAUUGGGCCUAAAGCGUUCGUAGCCGGUUUGAUAAGUCUCUGGUGAAAUCCCGCAGCUUAACUGUGGGACUUGCUGGAGAUACUAUUAGACUUGAGGUCGGGAGAGGUUAGGGGUACUCCCAGGGUAGGGGUGAAAUCCUAUAAUCCUGGGAGGAGCACCGGUGGCGAAGGCGCCUAACUGGAACGAACCUGACGGUGAGUAACGAAAGCGAGGGGCGCGAACCG